AUUUGAUUUCCUCCUCUUUCACAUUUGACAAACUAGAAGCGACAUCAGUGACAUUACUUCUGCAGAGAUCAAAAUCUGCUUCAACGAAAACUCUAAGCAAGAACUACAAUGUUAUUAUGGUAAUUUACUACUGUUGGCCACCAGUUCUGUUAAUUCUUAUCCUUUGAACAACACCUUCAGUCAAAUUCACGGUGUUUCCCACAAAGAC
RNAcentral lists this long non-coding RNA (208 nucleotides) under Linum usitatissimum (flax). RNAcentral describes it as "long non-coding RNA (LUSI_LNC001748)". The record is from RNAcentral. Lineage: Eukaryota; Viridiplantae; Streptophyta; Magnoliopsida; Malpighiales; Linaceae.